Molecule: ribosomal RNA, 325 nt
Filed under: Proteus mirabilis
Lineage: Bacteria; Pseudomonadati; Pseudomonadota; Gammaproteobacteria; Enterobacterales; Morganellaceae
Description: partial 23S ribosomal RNA
Rfam family: Bacterial large subunit ribosomal RNA
Source: RNAcentral
AUCCUCCAAGGCUAAAUACUCCUGAUUGACCGAUAGUGAACCAGUACCGUGAGGGAAAGGCGAAAAGAACCCCGGCGAGGGGAGUGAAAAAGAACCUGAAACCGUGUACGUACAAGCAGUAGGAGCCUCUUUAUGGGGUGACUGCGUACCUUUUGUAUAAUGGGUCAGCGACUUAUAUUCUGUAGCAAGGUUAACCGCAUAGGGGAGCCGUAGGGAAACCGAGUCUUAACUGGGCGAAUGAGUUGCAGGGUAUAGACCCGAAACCCGGUGAUCUAUCCAUGGGCAGGUUGAAGGUUGGGUAACACUAACUGGAGGACCGAACCGA